ACAUGCCUACAACAUAGUGUUAAUGCAUUGGAUCUCAUUAGAACUUUGUAGUUAAACACGCUCAAGCUAGAGUAGCACUAGGAUGGGUGACCACCCAAGAAGUCCUAGUAUUUUACAUACC
This is a non-coding RNA of Picea glauca (white spruce), 121 nucleotides long. The record is from Rfam. NCBI's taxonomy places the organism in Eukaryota, Viridiplantae, Streptophyta, Pinopsida, Pinales, Pinaceae.